AUUUUAGACUUAUCCAUUUUAAAGUUCCAGAGAUAAUGAUAUUCAGUUCAUCAAAUUCCUUUCUAAUAACUGUCCUGAUUAUCUUUCUAUCUACGGAAGAAGUCAAGAGCAGCUGUUCAGUAUAUUGUGCAGAUACCCAGGACAGGUGCCUGAAGACAAAGCAUGUGGAGAGUGACUACAGCUUGCUGUGGGGCAACGAGCUUGCGAAACAAGCCAGGAAAAGGGCAAAGAAAGAAGUUGCUCAGUUUGUUGCUUCUCUGGCAAAGAGAUCAACGUCGAAAAACGGUUUGUUGGUAGAGAUGUUGCAGCAGAAGGUUGCUACUGUCAUAUAUAUGAUCACUGACACAGCAAUGAAAACGGAAGCUUGCAGUGAUUACUGGGAAACCCACAAAAAGGCAAUUGAAAUAUAUUUUAAAGGUAGAAAGGUCGGAUGUGGAGUAGCUUUUGGGAACUCAAAGAUUGUCGUUGUUUGCCUUUAUAAGGCUUAACAUAGACAAAGUCACAUGAAAUGACAAAACUUAUGCUUUCCUUAAAUUUGUAUCGAGUAACUAGUAUAUAGAAAGGAACGGUAUUUUAUAAAGGUUAUAGACUGUACAGUGUACUCAUUAAUGAUUUAGCAAUUUGCAUUUGAAUGAAUUAUAUAUAUGUGAAUUAUUUGA
Molecule: long non-coding RNA, 659 nt
Organism: Bolinopsis microptera
Lineage: Eukaryota; Metazoa; Ctenophora; Tentaculata; Lobata; Bolinopsidae
Exons: 3
Source: RefSeq, a predicted model, not a curated record